GGAGUCGAGAAUGAAUGGGUUUUCGGGGGUUGACUGUCUCUUUUGGAUUUAGUUGAAAUUUCUAAAAAGGUGCAAAAUCCUUUAAUUCGAAAAAAGACGAGAAGACCCUUAGAGUUUUUAUUAUAAAAAGAUUAAUUCUUUAUCGGUUUUUGCUGGGGCGGCAAAGAGACAAUAAACUCUCUUUUUACAGUUUUUAGAAGACGUGAAUCUAAAGAGACAAUAAACUACCUUAGGGAUAACAGCAUAAUUAAAUUUUAGUUUGUGACCUCGAUGUUGGACUAGGAAAAAUUUUUGGUUAGCCGCCAA
RNAcentral lists this ribosomal RNA (306 nucleotides) under Peronia peronii. RNAcentral's name for it is "partial large subunit ribosomal RNA". The record is from RNAcentral. Lineage: Eukaryota; Metazoa; Mollusca; Gastropoda; Systellommatophora; Onchidiidae.